CCCAGCCAGGUGCCCGUCAGAUGAAACGUCCCUGAGGUCUUGCGUCUGUCACCUGCCCCCCUCCCCUGGGCUACCCGCUCCCGGCUCCGGAACGUCCCAAUCUUUUAGUUGUGUGUGUGUGUGUUCCGAGGAAAGUCAUGACAAUAUUGGGGGACAAAGACGGUGGCCAUAGGCUGGGGUGGGGGGUGGGGGCCAGGCGCCGCACCUGCGACACCUGCGACGCUGCAGCGUCUUCGAGUCCCUCGGGCACAGGAAAAGCGCCCCCCUCAAGGGCCCCCCAAGUGCCAGGCACCGGGAGAGGAGCUGCACGGGUAACUGGGACGCAGGCGAGCGGAUUUAUUUAGCACUUCCCGUUUUAUCCUGCGCGACAUCGCCGCUGCCAGGACGAUCCCACUCGCCUCGCCGCGUGGUCGGGUGGGAGCUGGGGGGGCGGGGGAAGGGCCAAGCGCAGCCCCCCGCGAGACUGCCCACCGCGCGUCACGCCCCCCGCUCCCGCCUGGAGCCCGGUUUCCGCUGGGAGGUGAGCCGACGACACCAUCACGUCCACCAAGGACCUACUGGGUGCCAAGGAGCGACUGGGCGCGGGGCACCGCCCCAGGAAGGUCAACCAAAAGCCAACCCUGCGACAGGGACAGCGGCCCCCGCAGGCGCCAGCCCGGAGCCUCCCGUCUGUGCCCGGAAGAAAGCCCUCCCCCUUCAAGUACCUGUCCGGGUGCCCCAGGACUAGCCCCCACCCCACCGCAGCGGCGCCGCAGUCUAUUCCCAAGAUGCACCUGGGCAUGGUAUGCAAAUGAAGGGAGUUAACCCUUUUCCUACAGAGGGGAGGUCCCACGCAGCAGGGUUCAGCAAGCCCCGCCUCGUGCUUGGCUCUGUGGGGUGGACGGAUUGAUGGGCCCCCUGCCAUCCCAGGGCCCCAGCCCGGCUUUCGAAGCGACUUCAGGAAACAGCAGUCUCUCGGGAGCGCUUGACCACCGGUUACUUCGUAAUUUCUUUCGGCCCACUCGCCUGCUUCUGGGGCCAGGGCUGCGCGCGAGUCCAAACGGAAGGCGCCCACAAAGGCGAGCACGACUAGCAAGUCAAAGGCGACUAAGGCUGAAGUUGACGGAGACGAGGAAGGAAAAGCCAGCGGCGAAAUCAACACACGUCGUCGGAGAAGCCACGGCCUGGGAGCCCCGGCCUGUGUUCUCCCGCCUUCUCUGCACGGACUCCCAGCCAGCCCAGCGCUCUCCUUCCUGGGAACGGUGGGCAGCAAACCGGAGCAGGCAGGCUUCCGGGGGCCACCCGGCACCCACCUAAGACUUUCCCCUGGAAGGAACAUAGAAGCCAACGGCUUCGGAAGUCAGCGAUUCUGUGCAUUUUGCUGCUCGAUGUGAAGACGCCAAAAUCACCCCGUGCGCCCCCCCUCCCCCCCCCCCCCCCCCGGACAUCCAGGUGGCCAAGCUUGGGGCCUGUGGCAAAAGUGGGGGUGGGGGACUCUGGCUUGGCGAGGCUCGCGUCUGGGUCUGGACGGCGCGGCCGGGCGUGUCCCUUGGACCCUGGAUACAAUGUCCAGCACAGCCCCCCACCGCACCCCCCAGUGGAAAACCCAGGAGUGUGUCCCCGAGAACGGGUAAGACAAGAGGCCUGUCUGCACCAGCCGGUAGGAGAUGACAGGCCAGUUCUGAAGACUGUCAUCGGGUCCCCAGGGAGGCAGUGUUGACAGGCACAAACGCUGGAAGCCACACCCACGCCCAGCCACGGGAGACCCCCCCACCCGGGACACACACACACACCGCGAGGUGCUGCUCAGCCUUUCAGUACGCUCCUUUACAAACGUUUUUCUUCGGAAAUGAUCAUAGCUUCACAAAGAGUUGCGAGAGUAGUACAGAGGCCCCUCACCCAGCUUCUCCCAAGGGUCACAUCUUGCAAAAUCAUGGAACACGGUCACCGUCAGGAAACUGACGUUCUGCAGCCCGCCGACCUCGUUCAGAUUUCUGAAGUUUCCAUGCACUCACACGUAGGCGUGCCUGCGGCCUCGUUCUUGUGUGUGAGUGUGUUUAAAGUUUAUUAAUUUUGAGAGAGAGGAGUGGGCAUUCGACUGAGCAGGGGAGGGGCAGAGAGAGAGAGAGAGAGAGAGAAUCUCAAGCAGGCUUCUCAAUGUCAGUGCAGAGCCUGAGGCAGGGCUCGACCUCACCAACCGUGAGAUCAGGACCCCAGGUGUCCCUGUGUGCGUUAUUCUUUACCAUUUUAUCAUACAUUCAGCUUUAUGCGACCCCAACCCAACUGAGAUGCACAACUCUCUGUCACCACAAAGAAACAUGCCACUUUAAGAAACAAUUAUCUGGGGGCGCCUGGGUGGCGCAGUCGGUUAAGCGUCCGACUUCAGCAGGUCACGAUCUCGCGGUCCGUGAGUUCGAGCCCGCGUCGGGCCUGGGCUGAUGGCUCGGAGCCUGGAGCCUGUUUCCGAUGCUUGUGUCUCCCUCUCUCUCUGCCCCUCUCCUGUUCAUGCUCUGUCUCUCUCUGUCCCAAAAAUAAAUAAAUGUUGAAAAAAAAAUUUUUUUUAAAA
RNAcentral lists this long non-coding RNA (2545 nucleotides) under Felis catus (domestic cat). RNAcentral's name for it is "lncRNA (ENSFCAG00000050867.1)". Lineage: Eukaryota; Metazoa; Chordata; Mammalia; Carnivora; Felidae. The record is from RNAcentral.